RNAcentral lists this ribosomal RNA (635 nucleotides) under uncultured bacterium. Its description in RNAcentral is "bacterial SSU rRNA". It matches the Rfam family "Bacterial small subunit ribosomal RNA", at positions 233 to 863 of the family's 1533-position model. The record is from RNAcentral.
GCGGCCCAUUAGCUAGUUGGGGGUGUAACGGACCACCAAGGCGAUGAUGGGUAGCCGGCCUGAGAGGGUGAACGGCCACACUGGGACUGAGAUACGGCCCAGACUCCUACGGGAGGCAGCAGCUAAGAAUAUUCCGCAAUGGACGAAAGUCUGACAGAGCGACGCCGCGUGGAUGACGAAGGCCGAAAGGUUGUAAAGUCCUUUUGUCGAUGAAGAAUAAUUGUGGGAGGGAAUGCCCGCAAGAUGACGUUAGUCGGCGAAUAAGCCCCGGCUAAUUACGUGCCAGCAGCCGCGGUAACACGUAAGGGGCAAGCGUUGUUCGGAAUUAUUGGGCGUAAAGGGUACGUAGGCGGUUUGGUAAGCCCGGCGUGAAAUCCUGCAGCUUAACUGCAGAGCUGCGCUGGGAACUACUAAACUUGAGUCAUGGAAGGGAAGUUAGAAUUCCAGGUGUAGGGGUGAAAUCUGUAGAUAUCUGGAAGAAUACCGGUGGCGAAGGCGAACUUCUGGCCAAUGACUGACGCUGAGGUACGAAAGUGCGGGGAGCAAACAGGAUUAGAUACCCUGGUAGUCCGCACAGUAAACGAUGUGCACUAGGUGUUGGGCCGAGCGGUUCAGUGCCGAAGCUAACGUGAUAA